GAUGAAGAACGUAGCGAAAUGCGAUAAGUAAUGCGAAUUGCAGAAUUUCCGUGAGUCAUCGAAUCUUUGAACGCACAUUGCGCCCCUUGGUAUUCCGAGGGGCAUGCCUGUUCGAGCGUCAUUAUAACCCCUCAAGCUCAGCUUGGUGUUGGGGCCUGCUGCACUGGCAGCCCUUAAAAUCAGUGGCGGCGCCAUCUGGCUCUAAGCGUAGUAAUUCUUCUCGCUAUGGAGUCCUGGUGGAUGAUUGCCAUCAACCCCCAAUUUUUCUAUGGUUGACCUCGGAUCAGGUAGGGAUACCCGCUGAUCUUAUGCAUAUCAAUAAGCGGAGGA
This 330-nucleotide unclassified non-coding RNA is filed under the name soil metagenome. RNAcentral describes it as "partial contains 5.8S ribosomal RNA, internal transcribed spacer 2, and large subunit ribosomal RNA". The stretch from base 1 to 121 matches the Rfam family "5.8S ribosomal RNA", at positions 35 to 154 of the family's 154-position model. The record is from RNAcentral.